AUGGACUGUACAUUACCUGGAUGGGAUGUGCUCCCCCUGGACGGGCUGUGCUCCCCCUGGACGGGGUGUGCUCUCCCUGGAUGGGCUGCACUCUCCCUGGUUGGGCUGCGCUCCCCCUGGUUGGGCUGUGCUCCCCCUGGAUGGGCUGUGCUCCCCCUGGAUGGGUUGUGCUCUCCCUGGAUGGACUGUACAUUACCUGGAUGGGAUGUGUUCCCUCUGGACGGGCUGUGCUCCCUCUGGACGGGCUGCACUCCCCCUGGACAGGCUGUGCUCUCCCUGGAUGGACUGUACAUUACCUGGAUGGGCUGUGCUCCCCCUGGAUGGGCUGUGCUCUCCUUGGACGGGCUGUGCUCCCCCUGGACGGGCUGUGCUCCCCUUGUAUGGGCUGUGUUCUCCCUGGAUGGACUGUACAUUACCUGGAUGGGAUGUGCUCCCUCUGGACGGGCUGUGCUCCCUCUGGACGGGCUGCACUCCCCCUGGACGGGCUGUGCUCCCCUUGGAUGGGUUGUGCUCUCCCUGGAUGGACUGUACAUUACCUGGAUGGGCUGUGCUCCCCCUGGACAGGCUAUGCUCCCCGUGGACAGGCUAUGCUCCCAGGGCUGUGCUGUUGGGGAUGGAGGAGCCCGUCCCUCCUCCACUGGCCUCCUCCACGUUGGGAGCCUCCCUCUUGUCUUCAGCAGGUCUCUCUGUCAGCCGUGCAUUCCUGGCUCCCCGCCCGCCACCCACCUGCGGGAUCCAUCAGCCUCCUGGGAGGCCAGGGCAGGCAGCUGUGCCAGGAAAUGCAGCGCGGGAGGUGCGCUCCGGGCCGUGGGCCGGUGCCGGGGACCCGGUGUAGGAUGGCGUCGGGGCCCACCCUGCUUGUCGGCUGCAGAGCCAACAGGAGGAGGCACGGCUCGCAGGUGGACGCUGCUUUACAGCCCGAGAGGAGGAGACGACAAGCCCCGCCCCGGCCAGCUCCCGGGGCGCUCUGUGGACUCUGUGGACAUUUACAGCGGCCCCUUCCUCCGGGAGACUUUGCUCUCUGCGGCUCCGGGGACUUGCCUGUCCCAGACGGUGACCGUCUGCUCUUCCCAAGUAAAUUCAUUCUGCUGGUAA
This 1095-nucleotide long non-coding RNA is filed under the name Vulpes vulpes (red fox). RNAcentral's name for it is "lncRNA (ENSVVUG00000017072.1)". The record is from RNAcentral. Lineage: Eukaryota; Metazoa; Chordata; Mammalia; Carnivora; Canidae.